AGCAAAUUUGCAGAGAUUUUUCACCCCUAUCAGACCAUGCAUGGUCAUUUUGGGGAAGGACAUUAAUGGUUCGUCCUUCCUCCCAUCCAGAUUUCAACCGUUGAAAGAGGGUGAAAUUUGUUUUUUUCUUCUUUCCCCUCUGCUUCAAUCUGAAAUCCGUAAUGAGUUUUGGCUGUUUGUUGAUUUCAAAUCGUUUCCUUACCCGUUCUUUUUCAUUUUUCACAGUACAAAUUUAAUGAAUUUUUGUCUUUUAUUUCGUCUGUUUCUGAUCAGAAGAGUUCUAACAUUUUGUGUUUGAAAAGAUUCAACUUAAAUCCCGCCCAAUUUCUUCUUUUAAAACGCCAGCAAACCCUAGAAAUAGGCGAUAAAUAAUCUUUUCUUAAGUCGUUUUGAAGCAGCUCUAGAACCGCCACAAUCCCCUAAGAAAUAUUAGUUCAUCAGUCUUAUAUUUCUGAAUAUCGAGUCAAAAACACUAAGUCAUUUUUUGGUUUUCGUUUGUCUUGGUAUUGCUUCGAAUCCGAGCAUCGCAAGCUCGGAUUAGUCUUCGAGGUAGAUUGGAAACCCCGCACCCUGUUCGCUGCACCCGAAGAAGGUAAUUUCCCCUUUCCCUUUUACUUUCUGCUUAAUCUAUGUUUUCUUAAUCAUUGUUAGGUUUAAAACAUGCUGAUUAGUUAGAUUAGCUUGAUAAGCCUGUUCGUAUGUUGAUAUUAAUUCGGACCUAAUCAGUCUUGUAUGAUGAUUUAAUUAUCGAGUUUGGCUCUGUUUACAUAAUUACAUAUAUUAUGGGGUACAACAACAAUCUCGUGUUUAAUUUGUAUGAUCUCCAUUCUUUUGUAGCAACAUUUUUGAUAUAAUAAAGGUAACAAUUUCUAUCCAGUUUACUCCCUUAUAUUUCUUUUCUCAUUGCGUUUUUUGAUGGUAUAAAUAAGUUUUUAUCUGAUGGGAUGAAUACUUGUAUUUCAUGAAUAGGAUAUUUUUGAGUGCGCCUCUAUUAAUAGUAGGGCCAGCAUCUUGCGAAAAAAAGGUGAGGCCUCUGAAUUUCUUGAACUCUCACGGUCCAUAGGGAUAAGAAUGAACUAUGAUCAUGACGUUCAAUUUCUUCCCCUCUUAAUAGUUACAGUAGCAAUACGGCUGAAGCUAGAGCAAUUUGGGCUAAAAUGUUGUAUAGAUAAUGAUCCCGACAACGUCAUCAUUGAAAUUGAUUUUCCACCAUGGCAUUUGAGGGAGAUUAUUUGUAGAUUCAAGACCUAUUGAUAUGACUAACUGUACAAUAUAAUGUUGUUAUAGAGAAGCUAAUCAAGUAGCGGACGCUUUGCCAGUGGAGUAUUGACAACUCGAGUCUUAUUCUCCAUUCCAACGAUGAUCUGCCUCAAAGGGCUAGGGGCUUAUAUACACUUGAUUUAUUUCAGAUGACCUUUUUCCAACAUAAGCACAAGAAUUAUAGUUUUUUGUGAGCUUUUUCCUUCUGUGUAAUCUUUCUCUAUUGUUAGUAUAAGCAAGCAUAAUCUUUGUAUUUUCGCCAACUUUAGGUAGGCUUAAGUUCUUUUCUUUAGCAGUCGUAUAUCCACUUCUGUUGAUGAUCUUUCUCAAUGUUGAAUGAAACCCAAACGCUAUAGGAACAAUUGAUUUAAAAAAAUUCUCUGAGUUGUAAUAUAUAUAUAU
Long non-coding RNA from Lycium barbarum (goji berry), 1662 nucleotides. RefSeq lists it as uncharacterized. Lineage: Eukaryota; Viridiplantae; Streptophyta; Magnoliopsida; Solanales; Solanaceae. The record is from RefSeq and is a predicted model, not a curated record. The transcript is spliced from 2 exons.